RNAcentral lists this ribosomal RNA (506 nucleotides) under uncultured bacterium. RNAcentral describes it as "partial 16S ribosomal RNA". It matches the Rfam family "Bacterial small subunit ribosomal RNA", at positions 29 to 523 of the family's 1533-position model. The record is from RNAcentral.
AGUGAACGCUGGCGGUAGGCCUAACACAUGCAAGUCGAACGGCAGCACAGAGGAGCUUGCUCCUUGGGUGGCGAGUGGCGGACGGGUGAGGAAUACAUCGGAAUCUACUCUGUCGUGGGGGAUAACGUAGGGAAACUUACGCUAAUACCGCAUACGACCUACGGGUGAAAGCAGGGGAUCUUCGGACCUUGCGCGAUUGAAUGAGCCGAUGUCGGAUUAGCUAGUUGGCGGGGUAAAGGCCCACCAAGGCGACGAUCCGUAGCUGGUCUGAGAGGAUGAUCGGCCACACUGGAACUGAGACACGGUCCAGGCUCCUACGGGGGGAAGCAGUGGGGAAUAUUGGACAAUGGGCGCAAGCCUGAUCCAGCCAUACCGCGUGGGUGAAGAAGGCCUUCGGGUUGUAAAGCCCUUUUGUUGGGAAAGAAGUCCAUCUGGUUAAUACCCGGGUGGGAUGACGGUACCCAAAGAAUAAGCACCGGCUAACUUCGUGCCAGCAGCCGCCGUAA